GAUGAACGCUGGCGGCGUGCCUAAUACAUGCAAGUCGAGCGAACGGACGAGAAGCUUGCUUCUCUGAUGUUAGCGGCGGACGGGUGAGUAACACGUGGAUAACCUACCUAUAAGACUGGGAUAGCUUCGGGAAACCGUAGCUAAUACCGGAUAAUAUUUUGAACCGCAUGGUUCAAAAGUGAAAGACGGUCUUGCUGUCACUUAUAGAUGGAUCCGCGCUGCAUUAGCUAGUUGGUAAGGUAACGGCUUACCAAGGCAACGAUGCAUAGCCGACCUGAGAGGGUGAUCGGCCACACUGGAACUGAGACACGGUCCAGACUCCUACGGGAGGCAGCAGUAGGGAAUCUUCCGCAAUGGGCGAAAGCCUGACGGAGCAACGCCGCGUGAGUGAUGAAGGUCUUCGGAUCGUAAAACUCUGUUAUUAGGGAAGAACAUAUGUGUAAGUAACUGUGCACAUCUUGACGGUACCUAAUCAGAAAGCCACGGCUAACUACGUG
Molecule: ribosomal RNA, 497 nt
Filed under: uncultured bacterium
Lineage: Bacteria
Description: partial 16S ribosomal RNA
Rfam family: Bacterial small subunit ribosomal RNA
Source: RNAcentral